AAAUAUCCAAUUAAAGCCAAAUUACAAGUUAUUUUAUUUCCAGACGGGGCUGCAGAUUGUAUGCUGCUCACCAUCCCGGGGCUUCAGGAUGCUCUGUAGCAUGGCUGAGCCACGAGACUUGUGGAGUAGAAUUAUGAAAGGAGAAUCAUUCUAGAAGGAGAAAGAAGAGAUGGAAGUCAUAUAAAGCAUGCCCAAAAGUGUUA
This is a long non-coding RNA of Passer domesticus (house sparrow), 203 nucleotides long. RefSeq lists it as uncharacterized. Lineage: Eukaryota; Metazoa; Chordata; Aves; Passeriformes; Passeridae. The record is from RefSeq and is a predicted model, not a curated record. The transcript is spliced from 2 exons.